GUGCUCGCUUUGAUAGCACAUAUACUGAAAUUGGAACAAUACCAUGAAGGUUAGCAUGGCCCCUGCGCAAGGAUGACAAGCAAAUUCAUGAAGUGUUCCAUAUUUUU
This is a small nuclear RNA of Hippopotamus amphibius kiboko, 107 nucleotides long. The record is from RefSeq and is a predicted model, not a curated record. NCBI's taxonomy places the organism in Eukaryota, Metazoa, Chordata, Mammalia, Artiodactyla, Hippopotamidae.